AGUUGUUUUUCAGACCCCCUGAUCUCUCUCUGCCUUUUUUGGACCAAGAAGCAGGAAAAAAUGGAACAAAUAUCCAAGAACACAGACAUGGCCAACAAAAGUGCUACACCAAUUACACACGUCUCUAUGCCCCAAUAAUAAUUGAAAGUGACUCGGAAGCGUCCGAUGAUAGCAGACAACAUGUUCAAGAAG
Long non-coding RNA from Rhinichthys klamathensis goyatoka, 192 nucleotides. RefSeq lists it as uncharacterized. The transcript is spliced from 3 exons. NCBI's taxonomy places the organism in Eukaryota, Metazoa, Chordata, Actinopteri, Cypriniformes, Leuciscidae. The record is from RefSeq and is a predicted model, not a curated record.